CUAGGGUGCAUUUCUUGACGAAAAGAAGGUGAAAAUGCCCAAAUCGUCUAUUAAAUCGAAAAAGUAUACUUAACAUCGACAAAUUGUAAGUACACUUCUGUUAACUCGUCUCGGGUGUCAGCGCCGCAGGCCUAGCUACAUGUGCGCCAGGCGCGUCGCAGCGUAACAGUGUUUCGUGAGAUAUCGCGAAGCCUGUUACGCGAGACGUGG
This is a long non-coding RNA of Frankliniella occidentalis (western flower thrips), 210 nucleotides long. RefSeq lists it as uncharacterized. The transcript is spliced from 2 exons. The record is from RefSeq and is a predicted model, not a curated record. Lineage: Eukaryota; Metazoa; Arthropoda; Insecta; Thysanoptera; Thripidae.